GGAAUAUUGGUCAUUUGAUGCAAGUCUGAACCAGCCAUGCCGCGUGCAGGAAGAAGGCCUUCUGGGUUGUAAACUGCUUUUGCCAGGGGAUAAAAAUUCCAUGCGUGGAAGAUUGCAGGUACCUGGCGAAUAAGCCACGGAUAACUACGUGGCAGCAGCCGCGGUAAUACGUAGGUGGCAAGCGUUGUCCGGAUUUAUUGGGUUUAAAGGGUGCGUAGGCGGUUUUGUAAGUCAGUGGUGAAAUAUAGCAGCUUAACUGUUAGGGUGCCAUUGAUACUGCAGAACUUGAGUACAGAUGAGGUAGGCGGAAUUGACGGUGUAGCGGUGAAAUGCUUAGAUAUCGUCAAGAACACCUAUAGCGAAGGCAGCUUACUAGGCUGUAACUGACGCUGAGGCACGAAAGUGUGGGGAUCAAAC
RNAcentral lists this ribosomal RNA (417 nucleotides) under uncultured bacterium. RNAcentral's name for it is "bacterial SSU rRNA". It matches the Rfam family "Bacterial small subunit ribosomal RNA", at positions 358 to 773 of the family's 1533-position model. The record is from RNAcentral.